Musca domestica (house fly) is the source of this 2845-nucleotide long non-coding RNA. RefSeq lists it as uncharacterized. The transcript has 3 exons. The record is from RefSeq and is a predicted model, not a curated record. NCBI's taxonomy places the organism in Eukaryota, Metazoa, Arthropoda, Insecta, Diptera, Muscidae.
UUGCGUUCCACUAUCUUUUUUCUUUCGUACGCAUGCGAACACAAAUGUCAAAAUCAGUCACUUGUGUGUUUGCUGUCGUAUGAUAACAAUUAAGGAAAAUUGUUUUAACAUAAACAUUGCUUGAUUGAAAAUGGAAAAAUCACGAAAAAAUCAUCAACUACACAGCUGCGGGCACUAGUUGAGUAUAUGGAGGAGAAUCCUGUUGCGUUCCUCUGUGAGUGUCGGCUUUUUUACCCAUUGGCCGCAAAUAUGGUUCUCAAAAAUCUGCAGACAUUCCGCAAUGGUUCUGCUCACUGUCGACUUCGCUGUUAAAGUCAAGGCUUCGUUCCCUAAAUUCUGUUGGUAGCUUCCUCUCGCCAAAAACCGCAAGAAUGUGCCAAGUUUUAAAUCGGGCGGAUUUGGGUAGUUCUGCAACCGGGCACUUCUCUUCCAUCAUAUCCAAAAGAACCCGAAAAACUUCCUUCGACACACGAAAAUUGGCCACAAACCUAAAAAAAUUCAUUUUUUAUUACUUCAAAAAUGUAAAAAUACAAUUAUACUUACUGGUUGUUAGGUACUUCAAAUAAACUCGAAGCAUCUCUUAAAUGCCUCCGUGGCACAUUCUGAACCUCCUCCACAUCAUCCAUAAAAAAUAGGGCUAUAGAAAUAUUCAUUUUUUUUUAUUUUUUAAGAACACAAAUAGUUUGAACACAAUCACUAGAAAUUUUUUUGUUUGUUUAUUUACAAUUUGUUUGUUUACAACUGAACUGUCAGUUGAGACAGUGCCACUGCGUCUUUUUCGGGGUUAAAUUAGACAUUUGGCGCUUUUUUUCCUUAUUUCGCGAUUAAUUUUUCCAAAAAAUAUUUAGCAACACUGAAUCAAGUAAGGCUAUGCGAAAGAAAGAACGAAAGUUAGUGGAACGCAUUCUUAUACGAAAGUGAGUGAGUAGCCUUCGUUCGCACAAAUUUUCUUUCGAGAUCGUGGAACAGGCUGAUAGUUGUUUCGUAACUAAUACACCAAUUCGGUGUUGGUGUUCUUUAGUAUAUAUGUGAUCACAUAAAAGGCGGUUCAUUAUCUUUAUAUCAUUUGGGAUCCACCCAGUCCCAUUAUACCAGGGUUUUUCGUAUAUAUUGUUUGUAAUUGAGGCAAAUUUUCUUCCUUUUGUUUCUGAUUUAAAAACAAAUUCAUCAUUCCAGUCUUCAUAAAUAUGUUCUUUGAUAGCUCUCAGAGCUUCAUUAUUAGAUAAUUUAACUUCUAGUGGAGCACCGUAUAUGCGAUUUUCGCAAUUGCAUCAGCCUCAAUGCCACAAUGGCUGGAUGUCCAGACAACAUGGCAUGAUUCAAUAUUAGAUGCAGCUAAUUUGUUGUGGAACACUGCGACCGUAUAGUUGUCACAAUUGUCAUUGAUAAGUGCUUUGCAUGCCAAAAGACUGUCAGUGAAGAACACACAUUUUUUAAAUCUAUCUCCAACAGCUAUCUCAAGAGCAUUGAAUAAAGACCAAAGCUCUCCAAACAUUGAUGAUGAUUUGAAGCCAAUUUUAAUGUAGAAUUUUUGAUCUAGAGAAUUGUUGUAGGUCGCACACCCCAUAGAGCUUGCGGAAAUAGAUGGAAUCAGAUAAUAAGUUGAGUUUGAGUUGUAGACUCUUUUGUCGUGUAAAGUUAGGAAUGUUCAUAAAGCUGUCGAAAUUUGUCUUAAACUCAUAGUAGACAUGGCUGUAAAUAGACUUCAUUACUGGAUUAUCUGAAAUAAUAUCAAACAAAGCAGUUGUUAAGGCUCUAUAUUUUGGUGGGAGUUCUUGGGCAACGGUAUACAACACAUGAGUGGGGUAGACUUUGUAACCCCAAGACACCGUCUUAAUAUAUCAUUUUGAGUGUGUCAAUUUUCUUAUUUAUGUAUUCGGGUGAGUUAGCAGUGAAUGUUCUCGCGUACUAAAGUUUGGAUCGUACCACACUUUUAUAUAUAUUUAGUGCGUUCUUUGGUUGCCACCUUUCACGGAGGCCAAGCACUAUAACAUGUUUGACCUUGAACGAAUAUCACGGCCGAUUUUUUCGUAAUGAUCCUUGACCGUCAGGGAGAUGGUUAACACUCUUCCAAUAAAUGUUAAUUUCCGUUGCUGUUUUACGGUAAAGCCAUUGAUACUUAAAUUGAUCUCUUUGUGCUGUUUUUUUUUUGCAAAGUACAUUGUAUGUGAUUUGGAUGGAUUAAAGGAGAGGUUUAAACUGUUACAGUAUCUUUUGAAGAUAAGAGUUUUCGUCUGAAGAUUUUGAGCAGCAAUCUCAAAAUCUCUAUUAUAGAAUAGGAUGAUAAAGUCGUCCGCAUACUGAAAGACCAUGGUGUUGCUGUUUUCAAUCUGGUGUAAUUCAGCAGUAUAUAUAUUGAAGACCAUCCUUGACAGUAAUCUUCCCAUUUCCCCUCACAAGUGUCCGUUCAGAUAAAAAAUUAUGUAUCCACCUACAGUAGAACCCAUUUAAAUUUAUUGGGAUAUCGUACUUAACGCAGUUGUAUGCAUUACUUAUAUCAAGAGAUAAGAUCACGGUUUCAAAUCCAUUGAUUUUAAGUAAGGACAAUCGGUGGAGUAGAUCAUUAAUACAAGUCGAGAUGGAGCGAUUCCUGACAUUAACAUUGCAACACGGGUAUAAGAGAGAUGGGUCGGAAAUUAUAAGUUUGGUCGUGAUCUUUGUUUGGUUUCGGGAUAGGAACAAUCUUGAUGCACUUCCAACUACAGCGUAUGCAAUUAUCCUCAAUAGUAUUAUUUAUGACAGUGAGAAUAACCCUCUUAAAUAUCCCCGGUAAUGCCUUAAGUAUGGAGUAAGUGACUCCGUCAACUCCUCCUGCUGACAAUUUUCAAAGUCUUCGAAUUCUAAG